RNAcentral lists this ribosomal RNA (527 nucleotides) under uncultured Eggerthella sp. Its description in RNAcentral is "bacterial SSU rRNA". It matches the Rfam family "Bacterial small subunit ribosomal RNA", at positions 375 to 917 of the family's 1533-position model. Lineage: Bacteria; Bacillati; Actinomycetota; Coriobacteriia; Eggerthellales; Eggerthellaceae. The record is from RNAcentral.
GCGAAAGCCUGACGCAGCAACGCCGCGUGCGGGAUGAAGGCCCUCGGGUCGUAAACCGCUUUCAGCAGGGAUGAAGAUGACAGUACCUGCGGAAGAAGCCCCGGCUAAAUACGUGCCAGCAGCCGCGGUAAUACGUAUGGGGCAAGCGUUAUCCGGAUUCAUUGGGCGUAAAGCGCGCGUAGGCGGCUUGUUAAGUCAGGCGUGAAAUCCGGGGGCUCAACCCGCGGCUUGCGUCUGAAACUGGCAGGCUUGAGUCUGGUAGAGGAAAGUGGAAUUCCUGGUGUAGCGGUGAAAUGCGCAGAUAUCAGGAGGAACACCAGUGGCGAAGGCGGCUUUCUGGGCCACGACUGACGCUGAGGCGCGAAAGCUAGGGGAGCGAACAGGAUUAGAUACCCUGGUAGUCCUAGCCGUAAACGAUGGGCACUAGGUGUGGGGGGUCAUCGACUCCCUCCGUGCCGAAGCUAACGCAUUAAGUGCCCCGCCUGGGGAGUACGGCCGCAAGGCUAAAACUCAAAGGAAUGGACAAU